This 756-nucleotide ribosomal RNA is filed under the name uncultured bacterium. RNAcentral describes it as "bacterial SSU rRNA". It matches the Rfam family "Bacterial small subunit ribosomal RNA", at positions 49 to 849 of the family's 1533-position model. The record is from RNAcentral.
UAACACAUGCAAGUCGAACGCAACCUUCGGGUUGAGUGGCGGACGGGUGAGUAACGCGUGAGAAUCUGCCUUGGGGUCGGGGACAACCACUGGAAACGGUGGCUAAUACCGGAUACGCCUUCGGGUAAAAGAUUUAUUGCCCUAAGAGGAGCUCGCGUCUGAUUAGCUAGUUGGUAAGGUAAGAGCUCACCAAGGCAGCGAUCAGUAGCUGGUCUGAGAGGACGAUCAGCCACACUGGGACUGAGACACGGCCCAGACUCCUACGGGAGGCAGCAGUGGGGAAUUUUCCGCAAUGGGCGAAAGCCUGACGGAGCAAGACCGCGUGAGGGAGGAAGGCUCUUGGGUUGUAAACCUCUUUUCUCAGGGAAGAAGCUCUGACGGUACCUGAGGAAUCAGCCUCGGCUAACUCCGUGCCAGCAGCCGCGGUAAUACGGAGGAGGCAAGCGUUAUCCGGAAUUAUUGGGCGUAAAGCGUCCGCAGGUGGCAAUUCAAGUCUGCUGUCAAAGCACGGGGCUUAACUCCGUAAAGGCAGUGGAAACUGAAUAGCUAGAGUGCCGUAGGGGUAGAGGGAAUUCCCGGUGUAGCGGUGAAAUGCGUAGAGAUCGGGAAGAACAUCGGUGGCGAAAGCGCUCUACUGGACGGCAACUGACACUCAGGGACGAAAGCUAGGGGAGCGAAUGGGAUUAGAUACCCCAGUAGUCCUAGCUGUAAACGAUGGAUACUAGGUGUAGCUUGUAUCGACCCGAGCUGUGCCGA